RNAcentral lists this ribosomal RNA (402 nucleotides) under bacterium. RNAcentral describes it as "partial 16S ribosomal RNA". It matches the Rfam family "Bacterial small subunit ribosomal RNA", at positions 355 to 776 of the family's 1533-position model. The record is from RNAcentral.
UGGGGAAUUUUGCACAAUGGGGGAAACCCUGAUGCAGCGACGCCGCGUGAUUUAGAAGGCCUUCGGGUUGUAAAAAUCUUUUCUAUGGGAAGAAAAUGACAGUACCAUAGGAAUAAGGACCGGCUAAUUACGUGCCAGCAGCCGCGGUAAUACGUAAGGUCCGAGCGUUGUCCGGAAUCAUUGGGCGUAAAGGGUACGUAGGCGGGUAAGCAAGUUAGAAGUGAAAUCCUAUAGCUCAACUAUAGUAAGCUUUUAAAACUGCUCAUCUUGGGGUAUGGAAGGGAAAGUGGAAGUCCUAGUGUAGCGGUGAAAUGCGCAGAUAUUAGGAGGAAUACCGGUGGCGAAGGCGACUUUCUGGCCAUAACCUGACGCUGAGGUACGAAAGCGUGGGUAGCAAACAGG